Long non-coding RNA from Girardinichthys multiradiatus, 419 nucleotides. RefSeq lists it as uncharacterized. The record is from RefSeq and is a predicted model, not a curated record. Lineage: Eukaryota; Metazoa; Chordata; Actinopteri; Cyprinodontiformes; Goodeidae. The transcript has 2 exons.
AGCUCUGCCAGCUCCCGUCGGUUCUUCUCUUUAUAAAUAUCGAUCUGCUCCUGCAGCUCACGAGUGGAUGACUGUGACGCCUCAACAAUACCACUCAUCUGCAGGCAUGGUGAUGGAGGAAGAAGCAGCAGAAGAAAGGAAACAUUCUAGAAGAAGAGAAAUGUGACGGAUGCCUCCCUGCUUCUGUGCUUGCAAGCCUGUCAGACCUGUUCCUAUGUCGCUUCAGAGCCGCCCUCAUCGCUGCUUUGGUUUAAAGAGAAGAGGACGUCAGAGAUAACUACACCACCAGCUUAACAUAUAUCAGUGUUUUAUGUCUUAGUCCAUCAAAACAAAUGAGAAUUAAUGUAAGGCAACAACUGGUAGAAACAAAAUGAGACCUUUAUAUCAAAUGAAUCCAAAUAAAAUACAGUUUUCGGUCA